AACCAGUCCCCACCAAGAAAAUUAGAAAGGGCACGAACGAUGAUCUCGAACUAGGGUUCUUUCUUUCUUCAAAAAAAUCGCAAUAGAACGCUCUACAGCUUCAAAGGUUCUUUCUUUCUUCAAAAAUUACCUCUUUAAUUAAUCAACUUAUGUUUCUUGUAGAAUCAAAGAAUAUCCAUAUAUAUCCGGUGAAGAUCUAAGGUUUUAGGUUUCUUGCUAAAUGUACCUAUAUAUGUUCUUAUCAUUGUUUUUAAUUUUUGUGUUUGCCGAUUUAUUGAUAUAUGUUAGUCCAUGCGCCUUUUUUGAGGUGAUCCCUAUAUUUUUCUAACUUUCAAUUAAGGUUUUGGUCAUUUCUGAAUUUUUAUUAUUUCAGCGUUGGGUUUUGAUCUAUUUGGUUGUCUCGAUAUUGGUGUGUUACAUUUGAUAUGUGGAUAUGUGUAUUUAUGAUAUAUGUUUCCUGUAAGUAGGAGGUGUUUCUGGUUUAGGGUAUCUUGUUUUUGUUUAUGGGUAUUAAAUAAUUUCAGUGGUAUUUUUUUGUUAUAAAGUUAGUGAAAUUAUUUUUUUCAGCAUUGUCUUUUAGUUGUGGUAUGAUUGUUCAUAUGGGGGGGAGGGUAAGUAUUAUAAAGUUGAAGGGGAUGCAGGAAUUAAACACCUUUUGUGCCUUGUCUGUGAGGAAUUUAGAGUCCUAAAUCUGUAUGUUAUAGAUGAGUGUGAGCCUUCUGUUUCUGUCCUCAACAUUUUCCAUCAUACUGAGACAUAUGCAACUAUAGCAUUAGCUGGUACUGAUGAUAGAAGAAGAAGGUACUAUCUCAAGGCAAAAAGAAAUUUCUUAGAAUGCACAUUUAUUUUCAAGCAUUAAAAAUGGGGUACAAGGAGGGUCUGAGACCAUACAAUGGAUUGGAUGGUAUAUUCUUGAAAGGGAAAGUUAAAGGCCAAUUAAUAGUUGUUAUUAGGCAAAGCAAUAUGAACUACUUUUAUCCUUUAGCUUGGGCUAUAGUUAAUUUAAAAAAAAUAUAUAUAUAUAUAUGGACUUGGUUUCUGGAGCUACUUCAUUAUUCACUGAACUUGAAGAUGGGUGAUGGAGACACUUUAAUGUCAAACACACAGAAGGUAUUUUCUUUUUCUAUCUAGUACAAUUUCUAUCCAUUUUUUGUUUCUCAAUUUUAGCUUGUAUUAUUGAUUUCUUGCUUGUAGGGAUUAAUUGAGGCAGUCAAAAUAGUCCUUCCAGAAGUAAUGCAUAGGUUUUGCCUAAACAUGUAGAGGCAAACUAUAACAAAAACUAUAGAUAAUUGGAAAUAAAGAAGUUAUUUUGGUGGAGUGCUUGGUGCACUUAUGAAAAAGACUUCAAAAAUCAGUUGAAAAGUAUGGGACAGUUGAAGGAGGAAGCUGUCGUGGACUUAUUGAAGAUCCACCUCAGUCUUACUGUAUGGCAUACUUUGAAACUAUGUGCAAGAAUUAGUCAGUUGACAAUAAUUUGAUUGAGUCUUUCAAUUCUUAGAUUUUGGAAGCUAGAUACAAGCCUAUGAUUAAUAUGCUAGAGGAGAAUCAAUUGAGUAAGAAUGAAUAUGAACUUGGAAGUGUGUGUACAGUCCCCAAAGCAUGGAGCUUUAUAAUGACUAUAUGAAAAUAGCUUAUCAAGCUUGUCGAGUUGAUUUCAAUGGUGAUGAUGGUUUUGGGAUGGUGGAAGAGGUUAGCAAACACAUUGUCAACUUGCAGAUGAAAAGAUGCACAUGCAAGGCAUGUGAUUUUUCUGGAAUCCUAUGUCCUCAUGCAAUAAAGAUAUUGUUGUAUUUGAAGGAAAAUACUUUGAAGGAGAUGCACUGUUGGUAUAGUAAAGAAGCCUUUCUACUGACAUAUAAGCAUAAAUUACAGCCAGUACAUGGUGAGAAGUUCUUGAAAAUAAACCUAUCUCAACGCAUGGAACCUCCGUAAUUGAUGAAGUUGGCUGGCAGGCCUAAAAUCAAGAGAGUUGGACAAAAGGAUGAGGCAAGGUGAGUGGAGUCAAUCUCGGAAAGGAAGGACUAUGACUUGUGGCAAUUGUAAGAGAGCCAACCCACAAUGCAAGGGGAUAUAAAAAGCCAAUAAAAGGAAAGAAACUGACAAAGGGUAAGCAUCCAUCAAAUGAGGGGUAGACAUCCAAGGCUAGGAAGCUAGCUAAGAGAUAGAGAACUUUGCUUGGUCAAGACACUGAGGAUGAUGAAGUGAUGCAGUCCCAAUUAGAAACUAAAGAUGUUAGCGUAUCAGCAUUCCAAUGCACUGUCAGCAGUUAAUCCUUUGUGUUUAUGCCUACUCCAAAUGUGUAUUCUUUUUCAGAUUUUGAGUUUUCAACUUUUGAGGAUGAUCCUGAACCUGUAAUAAGACCCAAUAUUAUAUUAGAAUCACAAACUAGACUUCUAGAAAGACAGCAGGUAAAGAUGCCCUUAGGGACAGAGAAAAUCAAAUUCACAGGGAACCACACGUGUAAGUGAACCAGUUGAUCUUUCAUACUCACCUAGAAACUUGACAAGGAAUUGACUGGAAAUCAGUUGGAGAUACAAGCGAGACAGAGAAUUGGGAAGUUGUAGCCAAGAAGGGGAAUUUGAUAUUCUGCUUAGCAUGGAAGGAAAUGGAAGGACAAUCCUAUUUUGUUCUGUUGGGCAGUGAAAAUUUGAAUGUAAUUACCGCUAUAUGACAGUUUACAUUCUCUUUGAUUUUUGGUUGUGUUGGUGACAUAUGGAGUUGGAUGUCAUAAUAUGACUUAGGUUGUAUAAGUUUUUGGGGUUGUAACAAGGCAUCCACUUCUCCAGUUAGAUGUACUUGUCAAGCUUAUGACUAUCUUAAAUUAUGGGAUUUUUACUAUUUUAUA
This is a non-coding RNA of Nicotiana tabacum (common tobacco), 2845 nucleotides long. The record is from RefSeq and is a predicted model, not a curated record. NCBI's taxonomy places the organism in Eukaryota, Viridiplantae, Streptophyta, Magnoliopsida, Solanales, Solanaceae.